GCCAAAAAAGCGACCAAACUCCAAUCACACCAGCUAAACUUCACCGGGAAUUAUUUGCAGAGAUGCUAAUGAUCGACCCCUCCACCAAGAUGAUCACGAACGACGGUAAAGUAUACACCCACCCGAAAGAACUACCCACUGGAAAAGAAUAUGCAACUGCAUUCACAGAGGCUACAGUUAAUAAUAAGAAAUUCAAUACGGUAAAGGCAUAUGUAUGCUGCAAGAUUGAGACGGCUCUACGUUAUAAACAGUUCAUGUAUAAUAAUAAUGGUGCGAAGACUAUCCUUCCAAUGCUUCGCCACAAUAAUAUGUGGUUAAAAUGGAACAAAUUCUCCACACAUAGAGAAGCCUCUAUUGGUUUCAUCAAAUAUGUCAACACAUCCAUCACUCUACAAGCA
Molecule: ribosomal RNA, 398 nt
Filed under: uncultured eukaryote
Lineage: Eukaryota
Description: partial small subunit ribosomal RNA
Source: RNAcentral